ACGUCAGUAGUGCAACGGGUUAGAGCAUGCGCUCCUGGACAGAGUGAGGUGCGGGUUCUAAUCCCUCCUGAUGCG
Non-coding RNA from Parelaphostrongylus tenuis, 75 nucleotides. NCBI's taxonomy places the organism in Eukaryota, Metazoa, Nematoda, Chromadorea, Rhabditida, Metastrongylidae. The record is from the annotation of a GenBank genome assembly.